UUUGAGAAAACAGAGCUCGUGUCUGCUGGAUUCACAAAAAUUUGUCAUUACCUGUCAUUACCUGUCAAACUAAAAGUAAUGAUUUAUCACUUAAAAAAUGUCUUUCCAAUAUUCCAUUGAAGAAAAACUCGAAAUGGGUGUCAGCCGUAAUUCAGUGAAUACUAGUUCAGCUUAUACCUGUGGCAUUGUGAACGUUAUUUAGACUAAAAUUUGGAUUAUGCGUCACAGGAUUUGCAACCAACGCUUGAUUUAGAUCAUGAGUUACAGGGAAAAUUUCGUUUACCUUUUUUCUGGGACCAAAAUUUCCAUUUACUUCAAAAUUGGCGAAAUAAGCUUCGAUUUGGAUGUUCCUGUUUUCAGAGCUGCCCCUUGAAUAUGCACCAAAAGAAAAAUUUACUGAUAUUGAGGUUCAAUAUCGUAACUUGUUGACUAUACAAUGGGAUGAGUAUUUUGAGAAUGGGAUUCCAAAUUGUGAUGCAGAACUAUUCUGGAGAAAAGUGAUUACAGUAAAAACGCAGCCGAUGAAUUUAUGUUUAUAGAUAUGGCACUUCUUGCAUUUACCAUGUUAUCUCUACCAUAUUCAAAUGCGGAAGCAGAGAGAACUUUUUCCAUGACGAAUUUAAUUAAAACUAAAAUAAGAAAUAAGAUGCAAUUAAAUUUACUAAAUGCAAUUAUGAUUAUUCAGAACCACCUAAAUUAAGAAGGAAUUUGUUGUAAAGAUUUUAUACCGAAUAAAAUAUGUUGACGUAUCUUUCGACGAUCUACAGGGAUCAGGAAGGGCAAAAUGUCACAGAUUAUGAUGUAUGCGAAGAAAUUAUGGAAAACUUUUAAUAAUAAAUAUUAAAAAUU
Molecule: long non-coding RNA, 849 nt
Organism: Tribolium castaneum (red flour beetle)
Lineage: Eukaryota; Metazoa; Arthropoda; Insecta; Coleoptera; Tenebrionidae
Exons: 3
Source: RefSeq, a predicted model, not a curated record